UCUGAAAUCAAGGGGGAUUACCCGCUAAACUUAAGCAU
RNAcentral lists this ribosomal RNA (38 nucleotides) under Pilobolus kleinii. RNAcentral describes it as "partial 28S ribosomal RNA". The record is from RNAcentral. Lineage: Eukaryota; Fungi; Mucoromycota; Mucoromycetes; Mucorales; Pilobolaceae.